This 966-nucleotide ribosomal RNA is filed under the name Candidatus Omnitrophota bacterium. RNAcentral's name for it is "partial 23S ribosomal RNA". It matches the Rfam family "Bacterial large subunit ribosomal RNA", at positions 1950 to 2925 of the family's 2925-position model. The record is from RNAcentral. Lineage: Bacteria; Pseudomonadati; Candidatus Omnitrophota.
CCUAAGGUAGCGAAAUUCCUAGUCGGGUAAGUUCCGACCCGCACGAAUGGUGUAACAACAUGGGCGCUGUCUCAACGGGGGGCUCGGCGAAAUUGUAGUAGCGGUGAAGAUGCCGCUUACCCGCAGGUAGACGAAAAGACCCCGGAACCUUUACUGUACCCUGGUAUUGGAUUUUGGUCCGGUAUGUGUAGGAUAGGUGGGAGGCUGUGAAGUCCUGACGCUAGUUGGGAUGGAGCCGACGGUGAAAUACCACUCUUAUCGUACUAAAGUUCUAACCCUGAACCAUGAAGCUGGUCAGGGGACAAUGCCAGGCGGGCAGUUUAACUGGGGCGGUUUCCUCCUAAAGAGUAACGGAGGAGUCCAAAGGUUCCCUCAGUGCGGUCGGCAAUCGCACGUUGAGUGUAAAGGCAUAAGGGAGCUUGACUGUGAGUCCGACAGGACGAGCAGGGGAGAAAUCCGGGCUUAGUGAUCCGGCGGUGGAAAGUGGAAUCGCCGUCGCUCAACGGAUAACAGGUACUCCGGGGAUAACAGGCUUAUCGGUCCCGAGAGUUCAUAUCGACGGACCGGUUUGGCACCUCGAUGUCGGCUCACCGCAUCCUGGGGCUGGAGAAGGUCCCAAGGGUCCGGCUGUUCGCCGGUUAAAGCGGUACGCGAGCUGGGUUUAGAACGUCGUGAGACAGUUCGGUCUCUAUCUCCUGUGGGCGCAGGAUACCUGAGGGGAGUUCUCCUUAGUACGAGAGGACCAGGAGGAACGAACCUCUGGUGUACCAGUUGUUCCGUCCGGAGCAGAAGCUGGGUAGCCAUGUUCGGUCGGGAUAAACGCUGAAAGCAUCUAAGCGUGAAGCCCACCCCAAGAAGAGGUAUCCCUGAAGGCAUCCCGUAGACUACGGGCUUGAUAGGUCCCAAGUGUAAGCACCGUAAGGUGUUGAGCUUAGGGAUACUAAGGAAGCCGUUUGGCUUGACCAC